RNAcentral lists this ribosomal RNA (642 nucleotides) under uncultured bacterium. RNAcentral's name for it is "bacterial SSU rRNA". It matches the Rfam family "Bacterial small subunit ribosomal RNA", at positions 839 to 1482 of the family's 1533-position model. The record is from RNAcentral.
CUGCGUGCCGGCGUUAACACAAUAAGUAUCCCACCUGGGGAGUACGAUCGCAAGGUUGAAACUCAAAGGAAUUGACGGGGGCCCGCACAAGCGGUGGAUUAUGUGGUUUAAUUCGAAGCAACGCGAAGAACCUUACCAGGGUUUGACAUCCCGCUAACGAGGCAGAGAUGCGUUAGGUGCCCUUCGGGGAAAGCGGAGACAGGUGGUGCAUGGUUGUCGUCAGCUCGUGUCGUGAGAUGUUGGGUUAAGUCCCGCAACGAGCGCAACCCCUAUUGUUAGUUGCUACGCAAGAGCACUCUAGCGAGACUGCCGUUGACAAAACGGAGGAAGGUGGGGACGACGUCAAAUCAUCAUGCCCCUUAUAUCCUGGGCUACACACGUAAUACAAUGGCGGUCAACAGAGGGAGGCAAAGCCGCGAGGCAGAGCGAACCCCAAAAAGCCGUCCCAGUUCGGAUCGCAGGCUGCAACCCGCCUGCGUGAAGUCGGAAUCGCUAGUAAUCGCGGAUCAGCAUGUCGCGGUGAAUACGUUCCCGGGCCUUGUACACACCGCCCGUCACACCAUGAGGGUCGGGAACACCCGAAGUCAGCGGCUUAACCAGAGAUGGAGAGAGCUGCCGAAGGCGGGGCUGAUGACUGGGGUG